GUGAUUGCUUUGGCAUCACAUAUACUAAAAUUGAAACGAUACAAAGAAGAUUAGUAUGGCCGCUGCAUAAGGAUGACACUCAAAGAACUGUUCCAUAUUUUU
This is a non-coding RNA of Otolemur garnettii (small-eared galago), 102 nucleotides long. The record is from Rfam. NCBI's taxonomy places the organism in Eukaryota, Metazoa, Chordata, Mammalia, Primates, Galagidae.